Molecule: ribosomal RNA, 460 nt
Filed under: uncultured bacterium
Lineage: Bacteria
Description: partial 16S ribosomal RNA
Rfam family: Bacterial small subunit ribosomal RNA
Source: RNAcentral
CCUACGGGAGGCAGCAGUGAGGAAUAUUGGUCAAUGGGCGGAAGCCUGAACCAGCCAAGUCGCGUGAGGGAUGAAGGCCCUGCGGAUCGUAAACCUCUUUUGCCGGGGAGCAAAGGUCCGGACGUGUCCGGGACGGGAGAGUACACGGAGAAAAAGCAUCGGCAAACUCCGGGCCAGCGGCAGCGGUAAUACGGAGGAUGGGAGGUUUAUCGGGAUUUAUGGGGUUAAAAGGGCGCGUGGGCGUGCAUUUAGGCCGGCGGUAAAGCGUCGGGGCUCAACCCCGGACUGCCGUUGAGACUGGGUGCCUUGAGUGGGCGAGAGGUAUGCGGAAUGCGUGGUGUAGCGGUGAAAUGCAUAGAUAUCACGAAGAACCCCGAUUGCGAAGGCAGCUUACUAAACUGCCACUGACGUUGAUGCUCGAAAGUGUGGGUAUCAAACAGGAUUAGAUACCCGUGUAGUC